RNAcentral lists this ribosomal RNA (256 nucleotides) under uncultured bacterium. RNAcentral describes it as "partial 16S ribosomal RNA". It matches the Rfam family "Bacterial small subunit ribosomal RNA", at positions 521 to 776 of the family's 1533-position model. The record is from RNAcentral.
UAAUACGUAGGGGGCAAGCGUUGUCCGGAUUCACUGGGUGUAAAGGGUGCUCAGGCGGACUUGUAAGUCAGAGGUGAAACUCCGAGGCUUAACCUCGGAACUGCCUUUGAUACUGCAAGUCUCGAGUACGGGAGAGGGUAAUGGAAUAACAGGUGUAGCAGUGAAAUGCGUAGAUAUCUGUUAGAACACCAAUGGCGAAGGCAGUUGCCUGGCCCGUUACUGACGCUAAAGCACGAAAGUGUGGGGAGCAAACAGG